Molecule: ribosomal RNA, 253 nt
Filed under: uncultured bacterium
Lineage: Bacteria
Description: partial 16S ribosomal RNA
Rfam family: Bacterial small subunit ribosomal RNA
Source: RNAcentral
UACGUAGGGGGCAAGCGUUGUCCGGAAUCAUUGGGUGUAAAGAGCGUGUAGGCGGCCCGGUAAGUCCGCUGUAAAAGUCCAGGGCUCAACCCUGGAAAGCCGGUGGAAACUGUCGGGCUAGAGUCCGGAAGAGGCGAGUGGAAUUCCUGGUGUAGCGGUGAAAUGCGUAGAUAUCAGGAGGAAUACCGGUGGUGUAGACGGCUCUCUGGACCGUAACUGACACUGAGACACGAAAGCGUGGGUAGCAAACAGG